UCUCUAAGCGUGGGGAUGGACACCUAGG
RNAcentral lists this non-coding RNA (28 nucleotides) under Mus musculus (house mouse). The record is from RNAcentral. Lineage: Eukaryota; Metazoa; Chordata; Mammalia; Rodentia; Muridae.